Formica exsecta is the source of this 1125-nucleotide long non-coding RNA. RefSeq lists it as uncharacterized. The transcript is spliced from 4 exons. The record is from RefSeq and is a predicted model, not a curated record. Lineage: Eukaryota; Metazoa; Arthropoda; Insecta; Hymenoptera; Formicidae.
GAUAUCGUUGCAAAUAGAAUUUCUGUCGACGAUUAGUGAUUUUUAAUUAAUUCGACGACAAUUGAUAUCGUAUUUAAGUGAGGAAUGGCAUAAGUAUCGUCACGGAUGGAAUACAAUUGAAGAUUGCUGACUUUUAGGCAAAUUUUAACGAACAAUCAGGUCAAUACAAGACAAGAAGAUUCAAUAAAUUUUUUAAUAUACUCGGUUGAAAUAAUACCAAACAGUAGACCGUGUGGCCUAAUGGAUAAGGCGUCGGACUUCGGAUCCGAAGAUUGCAGGUAUGAUCCGUUCGUUGCAAAGAUCAAGCAAGAACCUUCGAUAGCUCAGUUGGUAGAGCGGUGGACUGUAGUUGGCAUAAUUACAUAGAGACAUCCAUAGGUCGCUGGUUCAAAUCCGGCUCGAAGGAGUUUUUUUUUGAUAACUAUAUGAACAGACGGAAAUACUACAAAUAGUUUCCCAUUCAUCAUUUAUAGUACAAUUGUAUGAAGGGUGGUUUCACGGUAUGCCAUAUGUAUUAUUUACUCUAUGCUUCCUCUUAAAAAAAAAGAACAGUUGGAAUCAAAUAAAAGUUGGAAAACUCUCAGUCACGUUAAUAGAUGAGGCUAAAAGCAAUAAACUGUAUACAUUACAUGUAUGUAUAAAACUAAAGAAGAUAGCUUAUCACUUGUCAUUAAAAGAACUUGUCUACAAAGAGUAUAUCAAAAAAGUUUGAUCUUUUUUUAUUGCAGUAAAAAUAGAAAGAACAUGAGAAGGAAAAAAAAUUGUCUUCGUGUUUCGAUACGAGAGCAUUGACAGCUUGUUUUUGAAGUUGUAAGCAGGAUGAGGGUUUCUCUAAAUCUCUCGUUACAUUUUUGGCGUGUCACCCAUUGAUCCUGCACCAUUCGAUGUUUAUCCAUUUAUCUAUUUCGGGGAUCGGAACCCUGCGAGGGCGCGCCGACCCUUUUGUCUAAUCAGAGUAAAGUGAAUUAGCCCUAACACGAGACCGCACCUAAAUGUUUUUGUUCGCGUAAGCUUUUAAUUCCUUCUUUUCAGCUAAGUUUGACCUAGUACCAAGUACUGCGAAGAUUAGAGGGUCGAUAUAAGGCGUUCGAUGUAUCGCAUCCCCUCUUGUCGUUCGUACAAUAG